Pyrus x bretschneideri (Chinese white pear) is the source of this 4636-nucleotide long non-coding RNA. RefSeq lists it as uncharacterized. The transcript has 2 exons. The record is from RefSeq and is a predicted model, not a curated record. NCBI's taxonomy places the organism in Eukaryota, Viridiplantae, Streptophyta, Magnoliopsida, Rosales, Rosaceae.
AUGGAGUAGGCGCUCCAAACUAUCCUCAAAAUGGUCCCUAUGGUGGCUCUGCAGCAGGUCGAGGCUCAAACAUGAUGAGUGGAAAUUGCAAUCAACAGUAUGGUUGGCAGCAGUAAACGUUUGAUCUGAUCAUUAUAAUUCAUCACGAUAUGCACCUCCUUGGUCCAAGGGACAUGAGCUCGAUGGUUUAGCGAGUGUGAUCCCAAGGGUUCGAAUAGAAGCAUCAUUGAAUCGCUGCUAAAUAAUUUUUACAGGAUGUGAAUGUGAUUGAUUCAUAUGCAAAAUAUUCUCAAACUAGUGUUACGUUCUAACUUCUACCCAUUAAUCUGUUACUUAGAAAAAAGAUGCAGAAAAGCGGGAAGUUGUCAUAUGAGUUGUGUUUGGUUUACUUCUGCAAAUUUUUUUUAAAAAAAAUAUAUUAUAAAAAUAAAAAGGAAAAAUUGUUAACGGGUGACCAGCCUAUUAGCUUUACAGGUUGGUUUGGAUGAUCCGCUAACUUAAUAAGUCAAGUUAAAAUCGAUCCAAAUCCAAUAAAACUUAUUGAUUUACAUAUUUAAUUUAUUCAUUUGAUGUAGAUAAUAUUAUGUAUUCAAAAAAAAAAAAAAACAAAACAAAAUUCUCUAGUACCUCCCUUAUCCUCUUUCCCUAUUCCCUUUUAAAGCUGCAACAACGGGAGCCCAAUAAAGAACAAGCCGAAAACAGCCGACGCAACAGCGCCGUCGUCCACCGGUCACCAACGGCCGUCAAAUUACAUAUCCAGACUCCUCUUUCCGUCCUCUUUCCAACCCCCAAGUUAGUUUCUACAAAUUCGUGGCCAAAUUUCCUCAAUUGAAACGGCGACCGCGGGUUUUCCAGCCAAUAAUCUCGACCCAAGAGGUAUAAAUGAUCCUCUCCUGGUGGGCUGUCCUCCGAUAACCUGUGUUUUGUUUGGGGUAAACGUGCUACAGAAUACAUAUCUUCAGUGAACGUUGCUUGAGGUGUGAGUGGACAAAUUUUCUCUUGAAGGUGCUUCAACUUACCUUUUUGGUAGACAAGGCUCCUCAAGGUAGAGCUAGCCAGAGGUGUGAGUUGACAUUUAUUUCAGAAAUUUUUUCUUUGUCAAAUAUUAAGCAUGCAUAGAUAAAUAUGAUUUCCGUUAUGGUUUUUAUUCUCACACCUUCAGUUAAUCUCUUAAUUAACUUUCAAUCUAAAACUUGUCAAAGUACAGAAUAAAAAUAAGUUUGUACCCGUUCAUAUAAUUUAUUAUACAUGCAUAAAAUAAGCAACAUAAGUAGUAUUUUUGGAAAGAAAGUCCGGUGCAACAAAUGACAUUUUAUUGGUUUGUACAUAUGAGAUAGUAAAAGAAUUGUUGAAGCCACAACCUUCUUUGAAUUGUUGUCCUGCAUGCAUCGGAGAAUAUUAGAAAUCACUGAAAUUCAAAUAAGUUGAAAUGGUUAUGCUUAUUGUAUAUGUGUUUCCGAAAAUAGCAUCUUAAGGACUAAAUUCAUUUUUUAAGUACUAAACUUGUAUAUAUAUAUAUAUUCUAUAAAACGUGGUAGAAUGAUUUUUUGAGUACCAUAUAGAUAAUUUUCAUCAGUUUUUACUAAACCUAGAAGAAGUUGAAGAUGGAGACAUGUUAACCUUUGUGCUUGAUCAAUUAAUUGUGUUUGUCCUCCCUGUCGAUUUCAUCGUCUUCACCCAUCCUGUGUUAGGAAUAAAAGACAAAUGUUUUCUUGAGAUAUAAUUGAGUUUUCAAAAGAAGAAAAACAUAUCUAAAUAUACUUUAGUGUGCACAUACGCACAUUACAUGUAUACAUAUAUGCGUGUGUAUAUAUAGUAUUUGACAAAAUUUUGUCAAACUAAAUCUGAAGUGUUGAUUAUGCUUUGCAUAAAUUUGUCGUCGAAAUUUUUGUGGUGUUUGCCAUUAUGUUUUAGCUCGAAACCAGAACCUACUUAUUGGUUGAAUAACUAGAAAUUUAAGAUUAAGCAUAAUAUGCUAUCUUUCAGUCCUUCAUAAAAACAUUAGGAAUCCCACUCAUACGUCAAGAAUUAAAAGACAGCUGUUCUCUUGAGAUAUAAUCGAGUUAAAAAAUAGCGUAUUUAAAUACGCACACAUAAGUGACUGAAAAUUAGAAACCUUAAAUUAAAGCAUACCUUAGAGUGGCAUUGAGGUCCCCCAUCCAUUUAGCCCACUCCCAACGCGGUGCGUACUUGCAAUCGAGGAUGUGUGUCAACAUGCUUAGGAGCAAAUAGCCUUAAGCUUUGGACCUUCACAACCUCCAAUAACUCCAAAGACGGCAAUUACAAAGUAUAAGCUUCACCACAAAAAUACUUAAGUUUUGGCAGACUUCCAAGCUUGAUGGACUUCACUUUAGGUAAUGUAAUUAUUUCAUCAGUUUCUUCUGCGGCAAUGAUUUCUUCCAUCUGCUCUUACUUCAGAACUUCUAUGUCCUCUAUACUCGCAAGAAGUUUGACUAUGGACGAUGAAAACAAGUAUUUCAACUGGUUGCAAUAAUAGACCCGCAGCGAUUUCAAGUUUCCGAAGCUGCUUCCUGUCAACAUCGGUUGUGAAUUACCCGUCUCCCAAACAUGCGUUAAACUUGGCAGCUUCUGUAACUCGAAGGACCUCAAUUUAUUGAAUGCUUCAACGGAGUGACUACUUUCUUCAUGCUUCGGUCCCUUUAGUUGGAAAAUCACUUCCAUUGAAUUACAGUCACUUACAGUAAGAUUCCACGGAACUAUAAAGUUUAAGGAUAGGAUGAUAAUUUUGUAUUACCACGGAAAAUCACUUCCAUUGAAUUACAGUCACUUACAGUAAGAUUCCACGGAACUAUAAAUGAAGAUUUCACGGAACUAUAAAGUUUAAGGAUAGUAUGAUAAUUUUGUAUUACCAUGGCAGAUUACCUUAUGCUGCCAGAUUACCUUUAUUUUUCAUUUCUAUUUCAAAUUAUUUUAUUUCUUUCCUUUUUAUUUUCUCUUUUUAUUUAGAUGUGUAUUAAAAGUGGCAAAAAAUUAAUGUAUUCCUUUUUAUUUGUAAUUUGUAAGUGAAAGAUUUUAUGUUCAAUUAUUAUUAAAGACGAAUUUAAACUAUGUUACUUCUAGUCAUUAUUAUCAUCAAAACGUGUUCCGUCCUAUUUCACGUACCGAAUGCACUUUUAGUGAUAAAUAAUAGAGUUUAUUCCAUAAAAUAAAUGUAUAAAAGAAUUAAGAUAAAAAAAGUAGGAGAAACCAUUUUCUCUCCUCCUCCGGUAUCCUUUCUCCUCUUUUGCGCUGCAACAGAAGCCCCAUUAAACAGCAAGCUGACGACUGCCGAGUGCCGACACAAAAGCUCUGUCGUCCACGGGUCACCAAAGGCUCUCAAACUACACAUCCAGAAUGCUCUUGCCGUCCUUCAUCCAAUCCCCAAGUUAGUUUCUAUAAAUUCAUAGGCGAUUUUCCUCAAUUUCUAAUUUAAGAAACGGUGACCAAAACCGGCCAACUUCCGGUCAAUAUCACCGGAAUUGGACCUCGACCCAAGAGGUAGAAAUGAUCCUCUUCUUGUGGGCUGUUCUCCAAUGUAAGUUCUUUUUCCAAAUUUUCAACUUUCAGUUUUGGGAUUGAUUCUUGAUUUCGAAUUUUAUUCGAUUUUGUGUGUGAAUGUCGGAGAUGAGACUUAUGUUAAUUAUUGUAUCUGUAGAACAUGGUGUAGGCUUUAACUCUGUAGAACCUUGUAUUGUUGUGAAUAGGAAUUAUAAAAUUAUAAAAUUAUAAAAUUCAUAGGAAUUUUAUAAUUCAUUGGAACACUUUUUCAUAGGAAUUAUAAAAUUCAUGGAAAGAAUGUGAAAAUGUGGUACGGAAUUAGAAAAUGGGGGCCAAAAUCAUGUUAUGAUGAAGGCAAUAGCUUAGCCUGAUUCCUUGUUUACUGUAGUUUUCCAAAUUAUCAUAACAAAUAAGCAAACUCUAAUUUAGAAACAAACAGUUAUAAUCACAAUCGAAAUUUAUAAUACAUAAAAUAAGCAACAUAAAUAGUAUUUUUGGAAUGAAAUUCUGGUGCAACAAAUGACCUUUUAUUGGCUUGUACAUAUGAUAUGGUAAACGAAUUGCUGAAGCCACAACGUUCUGUAAACUCUUGUCCUGCAUGCAUUGGAGAAUAUUAGAAAUCACUGAAGUUGGAAUAAGUUGAAAUGGUAAUGCUUAUUGUACAUGUGUUUCAGAAAAUAGCGGUUUAAGGACAAAAUUAAUUUUCAAGUCACUUAGCACUACAGUUAGUUCAUGGAUUUUAGAGGUGCUAAAGAUCUGUAUUAGGGUUUUCUUUAUGGGCGAGAAACCUAAUACUCUCACCUAUAAAUAUAAGGCUUAGGUCCCACUUUUAUACACAUUAUUCUAGCACAAAACACUACCCCAUAUAGGAGUGCAUAAGGCGUGUAGAGAGAGAUGAAGAUCUUUGCUUGUUCGUUGCUGAUCAUGGUUCAAUCUUGUUCAUAUCAAUGGCUUCUCAAGGUUAGUACUUUUAGAGUGCAUAUUAUAGAUGGAAUUGCAUUGGGUACCUCAAAAAAAAUGAAUUAGGUAGCAGAAUGUGGUUCGACGAUCCUUAUUGUUCAAUUUUUAAAGUACUAUCCAUGUAUGUAUAUAUUCUAUAAAACAUGGUAGAAUAAUUUUUUGAGUACUUUAUAGAUAA